CAUGAAGUCGGAGUUGCUAGUAACCGCAUAUCAGCACGAUGUGGUGAAUACGUUCUCGGGCCUUGUACACACCGCCCGUCACGUCAUGAAAGUCGGCAACACCUGAAGUCGAUGGGCUAACCCUGGAUUUAUCUGGGGGGGCAGUCGCCGAGGGUGGGGCCGGUGAUUGGGACGAAGUCGUAACAAGGUAGCCGUAGCGGAAGCUGCGGCUGGAUCACCUCCUUUCUAGGGAG
Molecule: ribosomal RNA, 233 nt
Filed under: Dehalococcoidia bacterium
Lineage: Bacteria; Bacillati; Chloroflexota; Dehalococcoidia
Description: partial 16S ribosomal RNA
Rfam family: Bacterial small subunit ribosomal RNA
Source: RNAcentral